Long non-coding RNA from Pipistrellus kuhlii (Kuhl's pipistrelle), 2351 nucleotides. RefSeq lists it as uncharacterized. Lineage: Eukaryota; Metazoa; Chordata; Mammalia; Chiroptera; Vespertilionidae. The transcript has 3 exons. The record is from RefSeq and is a predicted model, not a curated record.
UUCCCUUUACCUCAUGGUGGGAGGGGCAGGCCCCGGCCUUUGCAGAGAGACAGGACUGAAGCCCCAGUGCUCCCCCUUGAGCUCCUCCUAGUCCCUGGGUCUCCCGGGAGAGGGAUUUUCCUGAGAAGGAGGGUGGAUGCAGGAAUGAGGGAGGCUGGAGGCUAGUUCCGACUCUGUCCCUUAUCCACACAGUGUAGGCACGGACUAGGUCCUCAAUAAAUGUUGGUUGGAUGGAUGGAUGGAUGAAUGGAUGAAUGGAUGAAUGGGCGGGUGGAUGGAUGGAUGGAUGGAUGAAUGAGUGGAUGGAUGAAUGGGUGGAUAGAUGAAUGGGUGGAUGAAUAGGACUUAAUCCCGAGAACACUAAUCUCAGAGGAAAAUUACUGGCUCAUCAUGGUUCUGAGCUCAGAGUCAUCCAGGCCAACUCUACCUCCACUCCCUCCUGGCUGCCCCAAGUCCAAGGCUCUCCAGGGAGAGGGAGUGUCUUAGUUCAGAGACAUUUGAUGUGUCUGUGUUCCAAGACAAGCCACAUGCUGCCUGGCUCCUCUGUGGCUUAUGACCUCCCACAAUGCCUGGCACAAUACGUUGUGCCUAUGACACGUGAGCAAACAGACAUGGAGAAGGAAGCCUGCAGGCUUUAUCAAAAUCCCCGGUGUCCCGGAGUUAGGUGGUCAGGAUGCCAUCGAAUCACAGGAACCGGUAGAUGAUUGUCAUCCGACAGAUGGAGGUGCUGAGGCCCAGGAGACCACCGCUAGGAAGGGAUGGGGAGGCCUGGGCCUGAGCCGGGUCCGCUGGUCCCCAGGUCGCUGCUGUUCAGCCAUGUCCGCUGCCCUCGGGGGCCUCAGGACAAGAGCUGCGCCUUCAGGUGAGGAGAGAAUAGCAGGGCUAGUAUUUCUUGAGCAUUUACUAUAUGCCAGAGUUUCUAGGUGUUAUCUUAUUUAUCCUUCCUGAACCAUCAAGGUGCCACCAGAGAAAUAGAACCAGAAGAGAGAGAGAGAGAGAGAGAGAGAGAGAGAGAGAGAGAGAGAGAGAGAGAGAGAGAGAGAAUAAUCUAUUUGGGCAAAUCUGAAACCUGCGGGCAGGCUGUUAGGAAGGGCAGGUUGGACACUCAAAUGUCUUCUUCCCUAGAGAAACCUCAGUUCUGCUCUGACAGCCUUUCUGCUGAUUGGACCAGGCCCAGCAGGUGACCCAGGACCGUCUCCUGUGCAGCGUCAAGACCGUAGGUGUUAACCACACCUUCGCAGCAACCCCACCUGUGCUGUUUGGUUGAAUGACUGGGCACCAGAGUCCAGCCACGUUGGCACAUUCUGACCUCACGCUGCCCAGAAGCCUCAAAGGCAGCCAGGUAGAGCUAGGACUUUAGCUCUUGCCACAAAAGUACCUGGGAACUCUGAAGAGAGUCAAGUAAGAUUCGCUCAAAGAUCCUUUCAGCUCUGACAGCCCCUGAAUCUGGAGAAGAGUGGACCAAACCGCUGCUUCUCUCCGUUUUCAUGCCUCUCAAAUACCGGCCAACACUUCCCACGUUGUGGAAAAAUGAAGAAGGAAGAGAAAAUGCAAGCACACGCGAGUGCCUGAGCACACUCAGCCUUGUGAUGUCACCUGCCAGCCAGGGAUGCCUGACAGGCAUGUUGUUCUUUGACGAGCGUUAUUUCCUCCCCAAACACGUGUAAGGCGCUAGGACAUUAAUUCUCCCACCAAGAUGUGCAAGCUCCACGGGUCAUCCAAGCCCAGAGGUCAGAGGUCAGAGGUGACGCUUCCGACACUUAAAGAGCAGUCAGCAGUAACGCCGUUGGACAGGACGAGGGCCGGGAGAAGAACCCUCCGUGGGGGAGAGCCGAGGUCACCGUGCUCACACCGCCAGGACCGUGACUUUGCUCAGCUCGCAGAGGCCCCUCCAUCCUCACUCCGCCGCCCGCAGCGGCUCGGAGUCAGGCCUCCGACAGCAGCCAUCUGUGUAAACAAAGUAUUUUUGAGUCUAGGAAAGAGGUUUCUUCUCUGGGCAAGAUUUUUUUUUUUUUUUUUUUACUUGAUUGUCCUCUCACCUCCAACUCCCAUGCUUCAAAGGACAAAAGAAACGUAGCGUCUGAUUCCACCUCUUCCUGAGAAAGCAAAACCGCUGUUGGAUUCCAGGCCUCCCCGAGGGAGAGGACUGUGUCGCCACAGGGUCCCCAUGGGACGGCUUCGGAUGUCAGGCUGUGGAGACAGAGCUCCCGGCUCUCACUGCUUUCUCCUGCCCUCCGGCCUCUGGUCCCUGGGUUCUCUCUCUCUCCAAACCUCACUGACCCAUCUCUAAGCUUCCAUUGGCCCACACGGGAAGGAAGAGAGAGUUCACAGCAUAAAUAUAGGGUGCCCCC